GAUGAACGCUAGCGGCAGGCCUAAUACAUGCAAGUCGGACGGGAUUUGGGAGCUUGCUCCUAAUGAGAGUGGCGCACGGGUGCGUAACACGCAUGUAACCUACCUUAAUCAGGGGGAUAGCCUCUCGAAAGAGAGAUUAACACCGCAUAAUAUAUUUUUAUGGCAUCGUAGAAGUAUCAAAUAUUUAUAGGAUUAAGAUGGGCAUGCGGAACAUUAGCUAGUUGGUAAGGUAACGGCUUACCAAGGCUACGAUGUUUAGGAGAUCUGAGAGGAUGACCCCCCACACUGGUACUGAGACACGGACCAGACUCCUGCGGGAGGCAGCAGUAAGGAAUAUUGGUCAAUGGGCGCAAGCCUGAACCAGCCAUGCCGCGUGCAGGAAGACGGCCCUAUGGGUUGUAAACUGCUUUUGUACCGGAAUAAACCCUUUUACGUGUAGAAGGCUGAAUGUACGGUAAGAAUAAGGAUCGGCUAACUCCGUGCCAGCAGCCGCGGUAA
This 498-nucleotide ribosomal RNA is filed under the name uncultured bacterium. Its description in RNAcentral is "partial 16S ribosomal RNA". It matches the Rfam family "Bacterial small subunit ribosomal RNA", at positions 28 to 523 of the family's 1533-position model. The record is from RNAcentral.